Molecule: ribosomal RNA, 379 nt
Filed under: uncultured bacterium
Lineage: Bacteria
Description: bacterial SSU rRNA
Rfam family: Bacterial small subunit ribosomal RNA
Source: RNAcentral
GUAGUCCACGCUGUAAACGAUGGAUGCUAGAUGUUGGUCAGAUUGCUGAUCAGUGUCGGCGCUUACGCAAUAAGCAUCCCGCCUGGGGAGUACGAUCGCAAGAUUAAAACUCAAAGGAAUUGACGGGGACCCGCACAAGCGGUGGAGUAUGUGGUUUAAUUCGAAACUACGCGAAGAACCUUACCAGCUCUUGACAUGGUGAUCAUACCCUUCGUAAUGGAAGGGGUCGGUUCGGCCGGAUCACACACAGGUGCUGCAUGGCUGUCGUCAGUUCGUGUCGUGAGAUGUUGGGUUAAGUCCCGCAACGAACGCAACCCUUAUCGUUAGUUGCUAACAUUUUAGGUGAGAACUUUAACGAUACUGCCGGUGAUAAACCGGA